UUUGCAAUAUAAUGAUGCAUAAAUAGUCUUAAAAUCAGUUAUACAAAGCAUUGGGGAAAACAUCCUUUAUACAAAGCACGUGAUCGAUCAUCAAAAUCUCCAACUGCUGAGCUCUCUAUUCUCUUCCUCCUGCUUUUCUCUUAUACAAAGUUCCUCUAAAUAAAGCAUGAAAUAAUAUAAGGGAAAGGAAAAAGAGAAGAAAAAAGCGAGAGACAAAAAGAUGAAUACUAGAGCCAAGAAUGAAACAGUGCACAGGCCUACCCAACGUAUCUAUCUAUUAGCAGUAUUUCCAUCGGCACUUGCGUUGGAUUUGACGAAGGCAUUGGUCAGAGUUGAUGCGAAAAAAUGUAAU
RNAcentral lists this long non-coding RNA (352 nucleotides) under Nicotiana tabacum (common tobacco). Its description in RNAcentral is "long non-coding RNA (NTAB_LNC017221)". Lineage: Eukaryota; Viridiplantae; Streptophyta; Magnoliopsida; Solanales; Solanaceae. The record is from RNAcentral.